ACGGCUCAGUAACACGUGGACAACCUAACCUAAGGUGGGGGAUAACCCCGGGAAACUGGGGAUAAUACCCCAUAGGCUAUGAAUGCUGGAAUGCUUCGUAGUUGAAAGGUGAGCCGCCAUAGGAUGGGUCUGCGGCCGAUUAGGUAGUUGUUGGGGUAACGGCCCAACAAGCCUGUAAUCGGUACGGGUUGUGGGAGCAAGAGCCCGGAGAUGGAUUCUGAGACACGAAUCCAGGCCCUACGGGGCGCAGCAGGCGCGAAAACUUUACAAUGCGGGAAACCGUGAUAAGGGAACUCCGAGUGCCCGUUAAAUCGGGCUGUCCACCAGUUUAAAAAACUGGUGAAGAAAGGGCCGGGCAAGACCGGUGCCAGCCGCCGCGGUAAUACCGGCGGCUCGAGUGGUGGCCACUAUUACUGGGCUUAAAGCGUUCGUAGCUGGUUUGUUAAGUCUCUGGGGAAAUCUUCCGGCUUAACCGGAAGGCGUCUCAGGGAUACUGGCAGACUAGGGACCGGAAGAGGUGAGGGGUACUUCAGGGGUAGGAGUGAAAUCCUGUAAUCCUUGAGGGACCACCUGUGGCGAAGGCGCCUCACCAGGACGGCUCCGACAGUGAGGGACGAAAGCUGGGGGAGCAAACCGGAUUAGAUACCCGGGUAGUCCCAGCCGUAAACGAUGUGCGUUAGGUGUAUCGGUGACCACGAGUCACCGAGGUGCCGAAGAGAAAUCGUGAAACGUACCGCCUGGGAAGUACGGUCGCAAGGCUGAAACUUAAAGGAAUUGGCGGGGGAGCAC
RNAcentral lists this ribosomal RNA (789 nucleotides) under uncultured archaeon. RNAcentral's name for it is "bacterial SSU rRNA". It matches the Rfam family "Archaeal small subunit ribosomal RNA", at positions 85 to 879 of the family's 1478-position model. The record is from RNAcentral.